This 29-nucleotide non-coding RNA is filed under the name Arabidopsis thaliana (thale cress). The record is from RNAcentral. Lineage: Eukaryota; Viridiplantae; Streptophyta; Magnoliopsida; Brassicales; Brassicaceae. RNAcentral also lists the same sequence under 2 other names.
GAGGUGUCAGAAAAGUUACCACAGGGAUA